Molecule: non-coding RNA, 351 nt
Organism: Paramuricea clavata
Lineage: Eukaryota; Metazoa; Cnidaria; Anthozoa; Malacalcyonacea; Plexauridae
Source: the annotation of a GenBank genome assembly
CGAGCUUUUUCAAACGAAUUUCGGUUUUUCCCUGAACCGCCUCACCCUAGGCAUAAAGAAGUUUAAUUACUUCGAUAUAGAGCUCCAAGUCAUUGCUUUUGAUUCACAAAUGAUUCACCAAGGCCAUUUUCCGGCGAAUUCAGACAGUGGUUUCCUCUGAUGGCCAUAGCAUAGUGCUCACCAUUACUUUUGCCACCCAAAAUCUCGGAUUUCUUAUCAAAAGCCCGUUUUCCACUAGGGGGAAAUUGUUCGCGCGAAAAAAAGUAGGAACUGAUCCAAUUUUUUCACUACGAAUUUUUUCGCUGACCAAUCACAUAACCGAAAUUUGUUUUUCGCUUCCCGCGAACAAAU